Molecule: long non-coding RNA, 1026 nt
Organism: Pistacia vera
Lineage: Eukaryota; Viridiplantae; Streptophyta; Magnoliopsida; Sapindales; Anacardiaceae
Exons: 7
Source: RefSeq, a predicted model, not a curated record
UCUGAUACACAAAAUUUCCAAAAGUAAUUUUAUGCUAAGGCAACGUAAAUUUCUCUCCACUUCUCCACUCCGUUCGCCUCUUCUUCUCCAUUUGUUUGCCUGAAAUCUGGACUUCUGCACUCCGUUCGCCUCUUCUUCUCCAUUUUAGCUUGAAAUAUGUACUUCUCCACUCCGUUCGCCUCUUUUUCUCCAUUUGACGCCUGAAAUCUAGACUUCUCCACUGCGUUCGCCUCUUCUUCUCCAUUGUACGCCUGAAAUCUAGACUUCACAACUCCGUUCCCCUCUUCUUCUCCAUAGUAUUACUACUUGCUUUCACAAUGAAGUCAAGAGAGCUUUGAAGAAAAGCACUUAAUUGGAAUCCUUCAUUCACUUGAUUCGUGGAAUGAAGCUUUGAAUGGGGUGACUGCUAUUGUUCAAUUUCGUAUUAACCCUUCAAUAGAGAGGAAUUCUAGGAAACCUUCUUUCACCGGAUUCAUGGGAAUGCAAAUAUCAAUGCAAUUAGUGCCGCUUCAGAAAAAGGUGAAACCUGUGUUGGAUGAAGAGAAAUCCAAGGCUAUCGGCGUAGUCUUUAAUAAUGGGCGUGUGAAGAAGCGACCUGCAAAAUUAGCGAAAGUGAGUUUCAAAAUUUCUUGGGCAAGACUUAUUUCACAGUAUUCGCAGAAUCGUCACAUGAACAUGCGUGGUGCUGUUUUUACUGUUGAAAGUUCUUGAGAAUGGGUAUAAGAUGAAGUAAAUGCAGCAAACAAGAUUUUCCAGCCUCCAUACACUAUCAGCAAUGGGUACGAAUCACACCCACCUCUCUGUCUCGAAUUAAGCCAGCCCCAGCCUAAAAAAAAUGAGAUGCUACCAAAAUCAAUGCAACUGGGACUGCAGCUGCAUUAACAAAAAGUUGACAACUAGGGAAGCACAUCACUCCUUACUCUAUCAAUAACUUGCCCCACAGUUCAAAAGUCAAGCUUGAUCAGUUGUGAAAAUGCAAGAGUACUUUUUCGGUAAAGCACAAUUUGGAAUGGAAGAUGGUAUGCA